This 273-nucleotide unclassified non-coding RNA is filed under the name Hevea brasiliensis (rubber tree). The record is from RNAcentral. Lineage: Eukaryota; Viridiplantae; Streptophyta; Magnoliopsida; Malpighiales; Euphorbiaceae.
CAGUUAAUAGCUCAGCUCCACCAUCCUACUGGAAGGAGGCCUCACACCCGAAGACUCAAGGCAACCAAACGUCUGCAAGUAAAUUCUUCCAUUCCAUUGCCCGUUAAACUACCAAUCAAUCAGAUAUCGAAACACCCCAUCAAUCCCAAAUUGAUCCAAAAAUUGACCACCCAAAUGGCCCAAAUCCAAACACCCAAGAGCAUUAUUGAUUCUAUUGGAGAAGAAAUAAUCAAAAUCCUAACACCAGUCUCAAUCUGCAUGUUCAUUGUGGUG